Molecule: long non-coding RNA, 3110 nt
Organism: Lemur catta (Ring-tailed lemur)
Lineage: Eukaryota; Metazoa; Chordata; Mammalia; Primates; Lemuridae
Exons: 5
Source: RefSeq, a predicted model, not a curated record
UCCGGGUGCCGCCUCCGCAGGCCGGGGCUGUGGCGCGGGCGGCCCGCGGGGCUCCCCCGGGGGAAACUUAGAGAAGUCUCCAACUUGGCGUGGGCUCCGUGGGAAGGAAGGCGCUCUCCGCUCCUCCCGCAGCGACCGCGGGCCGGCAGGUGGGGCGGCCCCGAGCUCUCCAGCCUGGCGUCCGAAGGAGCCUCCACGUCGUCCAAGGGCAGCUCCAGAGCAGAGGCAGGGUGCCUCCUCCACAUCCCAGGUAUCCGUGCUGCCUCCUCCUGGAUGCCUGCUCUGACGAUGAGCUCACUACCGAACAAGGCCACCUGCUCAUCCAUCAAGCCCGCAUUGCCACCAAAUCCGCCUGUCAGAAAGAGAGAAAAAGAAAAGAAUCCACGAGUGAGCAUUCAAAGCACCGCCUCCGCGUGGGAACGGGCAAUGGUGCGGCCACGUUGGGAAACAGUCUGGCAGGGCCUCAGACGGGUAAACACUGAGUUGUCGCAUGAUCCAGCAAUUCCACUCCUAGGUAUGUACCCGCGGGAAAUGAAAACGUGUCCACACAAAAGCUUGUAGGUGAGUGUUCAUAGCAGUGUUGUUCGAAAUAGCCAAAAGGUGAGACAGGACAGUGUCUGUCAGUUGAUGAAUGGAUACACACAAUGUGGUAUAUCCAUACAAUAGAAUAUUAUUAGUCCAUAAAAAGGAAUGAAAUGCUGAUGUGUGCUACAUCAUGGAUGAGCCUCAAAAACAUCGUGCCAAGUGAAAGAAGCCAGUCACAGAGGACGACAUUCCAUUUACAUGAAAUGUCCAGAAUAGGCAAAUCCAUAGAUACAGUCAACUGGUGGUUGCCAGAGGCUGAGAGAAGAGAAUGAGGAAUGACUGCUGACGGUUAUGAGGUUUUUGGGGGGAUGAUGAAAAUGAUCUAAAAUUGAUUACGGUGAUGGUUGCACAAUGUCGUGGCUAUACUAAAAACCAUUGAAUUCUAUGCUUUAAGUCAGUGAAUUGUAUAUUAUGUGAAUUAUAUCUCCAUAAAACUAUUCUUUAAAAAAAAAAAAAAAGGAAAAAAAGGUACAGCCUCCAGGAGGUCACUGUGACUGCUCCAGGCCACACCACUUCCCCCUCUGGCCAGUUUCCUACGGGCUCCCCUCAUGGGCAGAGCCACGCCCCACUGACAUUUCCUCUCCUGCAGAGGCUACACUGGCUCCUCCCUGGAUGGGAGUCAUCUUCUCACCACCUGCCUGGCUUUGAGGACAGCCCUAUGUUCAAAUCCAACCCCGGGGCCUUCUAGCUGCGUGGCCUUGGGCAAGGCUCUUCCCAGAGCCUCACCUUGCUCAUCUGUGAAAGUGAUGAGUACCAAUGAGUGGGCUGGUGAGAAGACACGCCCCUGGGGCACCAUUGUUAUCCCCUAGUUCUUCCUAAAACGAGCCUGCAGGCCACUCCUGGGCUUCCUCAGGGAAGUGGUCUAUGCAACUACUGCCCCUAGAAAAGUCCUUUAGGCCCUUCUAGGCUGAUCUGCACUGUCAGUGACCCACUCUCCAUGCCACCUUCCCGCUGAAAAAAGGUUUCCUUCAGCUUCCUGGACAGCUGCUGAGAAAUGCAGGACAAGCCUCUCGACACAUCCCCACGGAGGCCCCCUCAAGGCCCCACUGCUCACCUGUUCUGAGAAGCCAGAAUUCUUCAGGUGGGCACCAGAUGAGGCCCCACCACGAUGCUGUUGCUGUCUCCUGCAGUGGCCCCCCAGGCGCCAAACCCAGCUGGAAGCCAGAGGACUUGGGAUUCAUUGGAAAGGUUCAGAUUUCUGAACAAUUAUGCUGGCUGAAGAAGCACUCUGGAGGUCCUGGUCACCUGUGGCAUCUGACCCUGGUCUCCUGACCUCCUUCUUCUCUGAGACUCCAGGUGGCAGGAAGGGAAGGACAAUCAGGGAAAUCAAGGAAGGUCUGGACAAGGAGGAGGUAGCCCUUGAGUGGUCCUUGAAGGGCUCAGCCCUUAGCACUGGCCACAGGGAGGGGAAGACAGCAGGCUCAAGAAGUCUCUGGUUUUCCUGGCUAUCACAUCCGCCCUCUUGGCAGCACUUGAAGUGAGGGAAUGAAAGAGAUGGAAACAGUGACCUCUGGGAAACAAAGCCACAUUUUUGACAAAAGGCCAGAUGAUUAAUCAUUAGCAGCUCAUCAUCUCUAAGUUGGCUCAUCUACCAGAAGGCAAGCCAGGAGGCUAGGGCUUUCCUCUAGGAAGCAGAGCUGUCAGGCACUACAGUCCUACUGUGCACCAAGGUUGGGGGAGGGCUCCAAGGGCAAGGACACAUAAGACAUGAUUUCUGCCCCUCCCUCAGGAACUUGGGUUCUGGAAGGCAAUCUUUAACCAAUUCAUUCACAUAUGCCUAGGUUGGAGGCUCAGGAUAAUGAAUACAUGGGGAAAGAGUCUGGGUACACAGUAUCAGUUAUUCAUUGAUGCAUAACAAAUUAUCCUCUAACAGGGUUAAAUAACAAUGAACUUUUAAAAAAUCAGUUUCUGGGGGUCAGGAAUUCAGGAGCAGCUUAACUGGUUGGUUCAGGCUCAGGAUCUCUCAUGACGCUGCAGUCGAGAUGAAAUUAGGCAGCCAUUUUAGGCUGUGAGGCAGAAGCUCUAUGCUGAGGAAGGCAGAGCAACAACAGAGAAGGAGGCUGGGUCACUGGCCCCGUGGAGUGCCACACCAGCCCUGGACUAAACACCCUCAUCUUCUUCUACAUGAGAGAGAAAUAAAAUCCUAUCCUGUUUAAGCCACUGUUAUUUGAGGGUUUCCUAGAGUAGAAUUUCAACAGGGAGAAAUUAGGCAGUGCACCCGAAUGGGAGGAGAUGUUAUAAGAAAGGCCUAAGAAGCAGGACCUUACUUACCUCUUAAGAUAGUGAUGGAGGAAACUGAAUUACAGGCACACCUCACUCUAUUGAGCUUUGCUUUAUUGUGCUUUGCAGAUACUGCAUAUUUUACAAAUUGAAAGUUUGUGGCAAUUCUGUGUUGAUCAAGUCUAUCAGUGCUAUGUUUCCAACAGCAUAGUCUCGCUCUGUGUCUCUGUGUCACAUUGGGUAAUUCUUGUAAUAUUCAUAUUUCAAACUUUUUCAUUAUUAUUAUAUCUGUUAUGGUGAUCUGU